Arachis ipaensis is the source of this 679-nucleotide non-coding RNA. NCBI's taxonomy places the organism in Eukaryota, Viridiplantae, Streptophyta, Magnoliopsida, Fabales, Fabaceae. The record is from RefSeq and is a predicted model, not a curated record.
GUAGUAGUUGAAAUAAUUGCAAACAGAUGAUCCUUCGCCUAACCUUUUUUUUAUUGAUAGCCAUUUUAGCCACCCUUCGUCUAACAUUGACCUUAGCAACUAGCAACGCAAGUGAAUCAUAACUUAGUUUAACUGCCAACUACCUUUGGUUAGUGAAGUGAGUAAGCAGUAGUUGGUAAAUGUGUUUAAGGAGCACUUAAUUGCCAGCUCAUCACACCAUGAAAAACGCACACCGCCACGUGGCAAGCACUUAACCUCCCCGCCUUUUUCACCAUUCAGGUAGGAAAACCAAAAAAAAAAAAAAACAACUUUCUUCUUCAUGCGAUUCCGUUCCCCUUUCUCUGAAACUGUGAUCCUUGUAACACACGCAUUCUGUUCCCACUAACUUGUUUCUUUCUUUCUUUCUUUUUUUCUUUAUUUCCCCACUUAAAGUUAAAGGUUUAAAAUAAAAGGAAGAGAGAUGAAAUAGAAGAUUAAAAAAAGAGUGAGGGGUGUAGAAGCUUUUGGAGUGCUUCAUUCAAAGUUUCAAAUUUUCUUUUUCUUCUUUUGUGUUUCCGACUUCUCCACCGGUUCCUGAGUGGAGAGCUCAAUUCAAUUCAAUUCACCACCGAAGUCAUGUACGAGAUUCCUAUUUGAUUGUUUAGCGAAUUUAUUAUUUUUGCAUCGGUUUCGCUUCAGU